This 253-nucleotide ribosomal RNA is filed under the name uncultured bacterium. Its description in RNAcentral is "partial 16S ribosomal RNA". It matches the Rfam family "Bacterial small subunit ribosomal RNA", at positions 524 to 776 of the family's 1533-position model. The record is from RNAcentral.
UACGGGGGGGGCAAGCGUUGUUCGGAAUUACUGGGCGUAAAGGGCUCGUAGGCGGCCAACUAAGUCAUACGUGAAAUCCCUCGGCUUAACCGGGGAACUGCGUCUGAUACUGGUUGGCUUGAGUGCAGGAGAGGAACGCGGAAUUCCAGGUGUAGCGGUGAAAUGCGUAGAUAUCUGGAGGAACACCGGUGGCGAAGGCGGCGUUCUGGACUGCAACUGACACUGAGGAACGAAAGCCAGGGGAGCAAACGGG